AUAGGGGAGAAGGGAUUGAACCAACAUCAAAAAACUCAAAAUCUCACGCAUUCCAUUAUGCUACCCCCUA
RNAcentral lists this transfer RNA (70 nucleotides) under Kinyongia tavetana. RNAcentral's name for it is "tRNA-Gln". The record is from RNAcentral. RNAcentral also lists the same sequence under 1 other name. Lineage: Eukaryota; Metazoa; Chordata; Lepidosauria; Squamata; Chamaeleonidae.